Molecule: ribosomal RNA, 495 nt
Filed under: uncultured bacterium
Lineage: Bacteria
Description: partial 16S ribosomal RNA
Rfam family: Bacterial small subunit ribosomal RNA
Source: RNAcentral
GAUGAACGCUGGCGGCGUGCUUAAUACAUGCAAGUCGAACGGUAAGGGCGGAGCUUGCUCUUGUGGUCGAGUGGCGAACGGGUGAGUAACACGUGGGUGACCUGCCCGGUAGCGGGGGAUAAGUAUGGGAAACGGGAGCUAAUACCGCAUGGCACGAGGUCUUGCAUGAUAACGGUGAAAGAGGGGCAGGUGCUCCAUUAGCAGACGGACCUGCGGUGUGUUAGCUAGGUGGUGGGGUACCGGCGCAACGAGGCGGAGAUGCCUAGCCGACCCGAGAGGGGGUUCGGCCCCGCUGGGACUGAGACACGGCCCAGACUCCUACGGGAGGCAGCAGUAGGGACGCUUCGGCGAUGGACGGAAGACUGACCGAGCAACGCCGCGUGAGUGAAGAAGGGUUUCGGAUCGGAAAGCUCUGUUGUAAGAGAAGACCGCGUGUGAGAGUGGAAAGUUCACACUGUGACGGUAUCUUAACAGAAAGGGCCGGCUAACUACGUG